This 361-nucleotide ribosomal RNA is filed under the name Phytoplasma sp. Its description in RNAcentral is "bacterial SSU rRNA". It matches the Rfam family "Bacterial small subunit ribosomal RNA", at positions 1014 to 1363 of the family's 1533-position model. Lineage: Bacteria; Bacillati; Mycoplasmatota; Mollicutes; Acholeplasmatales; Acholeplasmataceae. The record is from RNAcentral.
UAUAGUGGAGGUUAUCAGAGAUACAGGUGGUGCAUGGUUGUCGUCAGCUCGUGUCGUGAGAUGUUAGGUUAAGUCCUAAAACGAGCGCAACCCUUGUCAUUAGUUGCCAGCAUGUCAUGAUGGGCACUUUAAUGAGACUGCCAAUGAAAAAUUGGAGGAAGGUGAGGAUCACGUCAAAUCAUCAUGCCCCUUAUGAUCUGGGCUACAAACGUGAUACAAUGGCUGUUACAAAGAGUAGCUGAAACGCAAGUUUAUAGCCAAUCUCAUAAAAGCAGUCUCAGUUCGGAUUGAAGUCUGCAACUCGACUUCAUGAAGUUGGAAUCGCUAGUAAUCGCGAAUCAGCAUUUCGCGAAUUCAUUUU